This 73-nucleotide transfer RNA is filed under the name Stegodyphus mimosarum. It matches the Rfam family "tRNA". Rfam says of the family: Transfer RNA (tRNA) molecules are approximately 80 nucleotides in length. Their secondary structure includes four short double-helical elements and three loops (D, anti-codon, and T loops). Lineage: Eukaryota; Metazoa; Arthropoda; Arachnida; Araneae; Eresidae. The record is from Rfam by way of RNAcentral.
GCCUUCGUGGUGUAGUGGUCACCACGCUCGGCGCGUAUUCUAGAGGUCGCUGGUUCGAGUCCCGCCGAGGGCA